AUUGAACGCUGGCGGAAUGCUUUACACAUGCAAGUCGAGCGGCAGCACGGGGGUAACCCUGGUGGCGAGCGGCGAACGGGUGAGUAAUACAUCGGAACAUGCCCAGUCGUGGGGGAUAACACUUCGAAAGAAGUGCUAAUACCGCAUACGUCCUGAGGGAGAAAGCGGGGGAUCGCAAGACCUCGCGCGAUUGGAGUGGCCGAUGUCAGAUUAGCUAGUUGGUGGGGUAAAGGCCUACCAAGGCAACGAUCUGUAGCUGGUCUGAGAGGAUGAUCAGCCACACUGGGACUGAGGCACGGCCCAGACUCCUACGGGAGGCAGCAGUGGGGAAUUUUGGACAAUGGGGGCAACCCUGAUCCAGCCAUUCCGCGUGAGUGAAGAAGGCCUUCGGGUUGUAAAGCUCUUUCGGCAGGAACGAAACGGUGAGCUCUAACAUAGCUUGCUAAUGACGGUACCUGAAGAAGAAGCACCGGCUAACUACGUG
RNAcentral lists this ribosomal RNA (484 nucleotides) under uncultured bacterium. RNAcentral's name for it is "partial 16S ribosomal RNA". It matches the Rfam family "Bacterial small subunit ribosomal RNA", at positions 30 to 507 of the family's 1533-position model. The record is from RNAcentral.